This 375-nucleotide long non-coding RNA is filed under the name Capsella grandiflora. RNAcentral's name for it is "long non-coding RNA (CGRA_LNC000879)". The record is from RNAcentral. Lineage: Eukaryota; Viridiplantae; Streptophyta; Magnoliopsida; Brassicales; Brassicaceae.
GGUUUUUCCCUAAACAAUUUUCUAAUCUCUCAAAGCUCUCUUUCUAAGAUAUACACACAAUCUUAGAAAACUUUCAAAGAAACCCUUUGCACUCUCUAAGCUCUUAACUAUCUUUUCUCUCAAGUUAAAGCUUAAUGCUAGAUUCUCUUUCUCUUAAUAAGUUGAGCUUUUCUUAAGCCCCAGCUUCCUAUUUAUAGAACUAGGACAUCUCCAUACAACAGGAAAUUCUCAUUCUACUUCUAAAUAGGUUUAAGGAUAAUUUCCUUUUUCUUUAUGGAUUAGGAAAUUAUCCAACUCUUCUUGUUUUACUUUUAUCUCUAUAAAAGUAAAGUCUUCAUGCUUCUGGACACUUCUUCUUUGUCUUGUGUCCAUGUA